This is a long non-coding RNA of Passer domesticus (house sparrow), 856 nucleotides long. RefSeq lists it as uncharacterized. The record is from RefSeq and is a predicted model, not a curated record. The transcript is spliced from 4 exons. Lineage: Eukaryota; Metazoa; Chordata; Aves; Passeriformes; Passeridae.
UGAAACCGCCAGCCUGCUGAUUGAUGGGUUCACAUGGGGCGACCUUCGCAUUAGCAACGCGACUCUGGUUGCCUGGUAAACACAGGCAGAUGGAUCCAGCUCCGCUGAUUCUCAGCAGUGACGGAUGGCAAAGAUAUUGGAAUGGUCUCCUUCAGCUUCCUCUGAAGAAGAUAAUCCCACCCCUCUGGUUCUUCCUGCUGCUAAGAGGCCUCAAUAGAACUGCGUUUUCCAGCAGGAAAAAUUCAAUGCCUCUGGCUGGCAGCAGAGCUGUACCUGUAAGCUUCCUUGAAGACAUGAAUUAAAUUGUGAUGGAGGAAAAGCAAGACUAUGGGAGAUGAAGGGGUCUGAGCAGUGGUUUGUGGCACAAAACAGAGUCCAAAUGUUUAAAACUUGUCAGCAUCUGGAGUAACUAAUCCUGUAGGCAACAUUACUGCAGCAACAACAUCAGAAAUAUAAUCUGCAUUCAUACAUAAACUUCAAAAAACAACUUUAGCUCACAUUUGUAUAUACAAAGCUACAAGAAAUCUUCCCAGUUUUGUCCCUUUGAGCUUUGUCACAGACAAAUAUCUGUGUCGAAAGGAGAUGGGUGAGCAUCAAGUCAGCCCAUGGUGACUGUGGUUGACCUGAGGUGACUGUACACUCUGCAGUGGCAAAGUGCAAGAGAAAAGACAUUGAGGCACCUUUCUCAAACCACUUGAGAUGGAUGGAGUCCAUGGAUGGGGUCCAAGAUCUGGGAUGCCUCUGUGUGCAUGAAUCACAGUUUCUCUAUCCCACCUGUUCAUGGUAAGCAAGCACAGACAGUGAAAUUCACAGCCACCUUGUCCAGCAGGGAUGGCAGCAGAGAGGCCGUGUCUCC